Nelumbo nucifera (sacred lotus) is the source of this 107-nucleotide non-coding RNA. NCBI's taxonomy places the organism in Eukaryota, Viridiplantae, Streptophyta, Magnoliopsida, Proteales, Nelumbonaceae. The record is from Rfam.
AGACCAUGGUGGGGACAUUUCCUAAGUAGUUCCUUAAAACUCUUCCAUGACUCAUAUAAGGUUUCAUUAUCAAUUUGUAAAAAAGUUGUUAUGUCAUUCCUUAAUUU